RNAcentral lists this ribosomal RNA (839 nucleotides) under Mycobacterium kumamotonense. Its description in RNAcentral is "Mycolicibacter kumamotonensis bacterial SSU rRNA". It matches the Rfam family "Bacterial small subunit ribosomal RNA", at positions 54 to 890 of the family's 1533-position model. The record is from RNAcentral. Lineage: Bacteria; Bacillati; Actinomycetota; Actinomycetes; Mycobacteriales; Mycobacteriaceae.
CAUGCAAGUCGAACGGAAAGGCCCUUUCGGGGGUGCUCGAGUGGCGAACGGGUGAGUAACACGUGGGUGAUCUGCCCUGCACUCUGGGAUAAGCUUGGGAAACUGGGUCUAAUACCGGAUAGGACCAUGGGAUGCAUGUUCUGUGGUGGAAAGCUUUUGCGGUGUGGGAUGGGCCCGCGGCCUAUCAGCUUGUUGGUGGGGUGAUGGCCUACCAAGGCGACGACGGGUAGCCGGCCUGAGAGGGUGUCCGGCCACACUGGGACUGAGAUACGGCCCAGACUCCUACGGGAGGCAGCAGUGGGGAAUAUUGCACAAUGGGCGCAAGCCUGAUGCAGCGACGCCGCGUGGGGGAUGACGGCCUUCGGGUUGUAAACCUCUUUCAGUAUCGGCGAAGCUUGCGGGUUUUCUCGCAGGUGACGGUAGGUACAGAAGAAGCACCGGCCAACUACGUGCCAGCAGCCGCGGUAAUACGUAGGGUGCGAGCGUUGUCCGGAAUUACUGGGCGUAAAGAGCUCGUAGGUGGUUUGUCGCGUUGUCCGUGAAAACUCACAGCUCAACUGUGGGCGUGCGGGCGAUACGGGCAGACUGGAGUACUGUAGGGGAGACUGGAAUUCCUGGUGUAGCGGUGGAAUGCGCAGAUAUCAGGAGGAACACCGGUGGCGAAGGCGGGUCUCUGGGCAGUAACUGACGCUGAGGAGCGAAAGCGUGGGGAGCGAACAGGAUUAGAUACCCUGGUAGUCCACGCCGUAAACGGUGGGUACUAGGUGUGGGUUUCCUUCCUUUAGGGAUCCGUGCCGUAGCUAACGCAUUAAGUACCCCGCCUGGGGAGUACGGCCGCA